Molecule: ribosomal RNA, 812 nt
Filed under: Salmonella enterica subsp. enterica serovar Infantis
Lineage: Bacteria; Pseudomonadati; Pseudomonadota; Gammaproteobacteria; Enterobacterales; Enterobacteriaceae
Also listed under: 1 other name
Description: partial 23S ribosomal RNA
Rfam family: Bacterial large subunit ribosomal RNA
Source: RNAcentral
CACGAAUGGCGUAAUGAUGGCCAGGCUGUCUCCACCCGAGACUCAGUGAAAUUGAACUCGCUGUGAAGAUGCAGUGUACCCGCGGCAAGACGGAAAGACCCCGUGAACCUUUACUAUAGCUUGACACUGAACAUUGAGCCUUGAUGUGUAGGAUAGGUGGGAGGCUUUGAAGCGUGGACGCCAGUCUGCGUGGAGCCGACCUUGAAAUACCACCCUUUAAUGUUUGAUGUUCUAACGUGGACCCGUAAUCCGGGUUGCGGACAGUGUCUGGUGGGUAGUUUGACUGGGGCGGUCUCCUCCUAAAGAGUAACGGAGGAGCACGAAGGUUGGCUAAUCCUGGUCGGACAUCAGGAGGUUAGUGCAAUGGCAUAAGCCAGCUUGACUGCGAGCGUGACGGCGCGAGCAGGUGCGAAAGCAGGUCAUAGUGAUCCGGUGGUUCUGAAUGGAAGGGCCAUCGCUCAACGGAUAAAAGGUACUCCGGGGAUAACAGGCUGAUACCGCCCAAGAGUUCAUAUCGACGGCGGUGUUUGGCACCUCGAUGUCGGCUCAUCACAUCCUGGGGCUGAAGUAGGUCCCAAGGGUAUGGCUGUUCGCCAUUUAAAGUGGUACGCGAGCUGGGUUUAGAACGUCGUGAGACAGUUCGGUCCCUAUCUGCCGUGGGCGCUGGAGAACUGAGGGGGGCUGCUCCUAGUACGAGAGGACCGGAGUGGACGCAUCACUGGUGUUCGGGUUGUCAUGCCAAUGGCACUGCCCGGUAGCUAAAUGCGGAAGAGAUAAGUGCUGAAAGCAUCUAAGCACGAAACUUGCCCCGA